CUUAACACAUGCAAGUCGAGCGAGACCUUCGGGUCUAGCGGCGGACGGGUGAGUAACGCGUGGGAACGUGCCCUUCUCUACGGAAUAGCCCCGGGAAACUGGGAGUAAUACCGUAUACGCCCUUUGGGGGAAAGAUUUAUCGGAGAAGGAUCGGCCCGCGUUGGAUUAGGUAGUUGGUGAGGUAACGGCUCACCAAGCCGACGAUCCAUAGCUGGUUUGAGAGGAUGAUCAGCCACACUGGGACUGAGACACGGCCCAGACUCCUACGGGAGGCAGCAGUGGGGAAUCUUAGACAAUGGGGGCAACCCUGAUCUAGCCAUGCCGCGUGAGUGAUGAAGGCCUUAGGGUUGUAAAGCUCUUUCAGCUGGGAAGAUAAUGACGGUACCAGCAGAAGAAGCCCCGGCUAACUCCGUGCCAGCAGCCGCGGUAAUACGGAGGGGGCUAGCGUUGUUCGGAAUUACUGGGCGUAAAGCGCACGUAGGCGGACUGGAAAGUCAGAGGUGAAAUCCCAGGGCUCAACCUUGGAACUGCCUUUGAAACUAUCAGUCUGGAGUUCGAGAGAGGUGAGUGGAAUUCCGAGUGUAGAGGUGAAAUUCGUAGAUAUUCGGAGGAACACCAGUGGCGAAGGCGGCUCACUGGCUCGAUACUGACGCUGAGGUGCGAAAGCGUGGGGAGCAAACAGGNUUAGAUACC
RNAcentral lists this ribosomal RNA (693 nucleotides) under Paracoccus sp. AD-F11. RNAcentral describes it as "bacterial SSU rRNA". It matches the Rfam family "Bacterial small subunit ribosomal RNA", at positions 47 to 786 of the family's 1533-position model. Lineage: Bacteria; Pseudomonadati; Pseudomonadota; Alphaproteobacteria; Rhodobacterales; Paracoccaceae. The record is from RNAcentral.